CAGUCGCCGCGGGAAUACGUAGGUCCCGAGCGUUGUCCGGAUUUAUUGGGCGUAAAGCGAGCGCAGGCGGUUUGAUAAGUCUGAAGUUAAAGGCUGUGGCUCAACCAUAGUUCGCUUUGGAAACUGUCAAACUUGAGUGCAGAAGGGGAGAGUGGAAUUCCAUGUGUAGCGGUGAAAUGCGUAGAUAUAUGGAGGAACACCGGUGGCGAAAGCGGCUCUCUGGUCUGUAACUGACGCUGAGGCUCGAAAGCGUGGGGAGCGAACAGGAUUAGAUACCCCUGUAGUCCCUGUCUCUUAUACA
Molecule: ribosomal RNA, 301 nt
Filed under: uncultured bacterium
Lineage: Bacteria
Description: partial 16S ribosomal RNA
Rfam family: Bacterial small subunit ribosomal RNA
Source: RNAcentral